AUUGAACGCUGGCGGCAUGCCUAACACAUGCAAGUCGAGCGGAUGAAGGGAGCUUGCUCCUGGAUUCAGCGGCGGACGGGUGAGUAAUUCCUAGGAAUCUGCCUGGUAGUGGGGGAUAACGUCCGGAAACGGGCGCUAAUACCGCAUACGUCCUGAUGGUGAAAGUGGGGGAUCUUCGGACCUCACGCUAUCAGAUGAGCCUAGGUCGGAUUAGCUAGUUGGUGGGGUAAAGGCCUACCAAGGCGACGAUCCGUAACUGGUCUGAGAGGAUGAUCAGUCACACUGGAACUGAGACACGGUCCAGACUCCUACGGGAGGCAGCAGUGGGGAAUAUUGGACAAUGGGCGAAAGCCUGAUCCAGCCAUGCCGCGUGUGUGAAGAAGGUCUUCGGAUUGUAAAGCACUUUAAGUUGGGAGGAAGGGAAGUAAGUUAAUACCUUGAUGUUUUGACGUUACCAACAGAAUAAGCACCGGCUAACUUCGUG
RNAcentral lists this ribosomal RNA (484 nucleotides) under uncultured bacterium. RNAcentral's name for it is "partial 16S ribosomal RNA". It matches the Rfam family "Bacterial small subunit ribosomal RNA", at positions 30 to 507 of the family's 1533-position model. The record is from RNAcentral.